AGCGAACGCUGGCGGCAGGCUUAACACAUGCAAGUCGAACGCCCCGCAAGGGGAGUGGCAGACGGGUGAGUAACACGUGGGAACGUACCCUUUGGUUCGGAAUAACUUGGGGAAACUCAAGCUAAUACCGGAUAAGCCCUUAUGGGGAAAGGUUUACUGCCGAAGGAUCGGCCCGCGUCUGAAUAGCUAGUUGGUGAGGUAAUGGCUCACCAAGGCGACGAUCAGUAGCUGGUCUGAGAGGAUGAUCAGCCACACUGGGACUGAGACACGGCCCAGACUCCUACGGGGGGCAGCAGUGGGGAGUAUUGGACAAUGGGGGCAACCCUGAUCCAGCCAUGCCGCGUGAGUGAUGAAGGCCUUAGGGUUGUAAAGAUCUUUUACCCGGGACGAUAAUGACUGUACCGGGAGAAUAAGCCCCGGCUAACUUCGUGCCAGCCGCCGCUGUAA
RNAcentral lists this ribosomal RNA (447 nucleotides) under uncultured bacterium. RNAcentral describes it as "partial 16S ribosomal RNA". It matches the Rfam family "Bacterial small subunit ribosomal RNA", at positions 29 to 523 of the family's 1533-position model. The record is from RNAcentral.